AUUCUUUUAGUAUAUAUAGUAUAUUUAACUUCCAAUUAAAAGGUCUAGGUUAGAGAGAAUA
Molecule: transfer RNA, 61 nt
Filed under: Carcinocoris binghami
Lineage: Eukaryota; Metazoa; Arthropoda; Insecta; Hemiptera; Phymatidae
Description: tRNA-Gly
Source: RNAcentral